This 329-nucleotide unclassified non-coding RNA is filed under the name soil metagenome. Its description in RNAcentral is "partial contains 5.8S ribosomal RNA, internal transcribed spacer 2, and large subunit ribosomal RNA". The stretch from base 1 to 120 matches the Rfam family "5.8S ribosomal RNA", at positions 35 to 154 of the family's 154-position model. The record is from RNAcentral.
GAUGAAGAACGUAGCGAAAUGCGAUAAGUAAUGUGAAUUGCAGAAUUCAGUGAAUCAUCGAAUCUUUGAACGCACAUUGCGCCCCUUGGUAUUCCGAGGGGCAUGCCUGUUCGAGCGUCAUUUCAACCCUCAAGCACAGCUUGGUCUUGGGCUUCGCCGCUAACCCGGCGGGUCUUAAAAUCAGUGGCGGUGCCGUCGGGCCCUGAGCGCAGUAAUUUCUCUCGCUAUAGGGUCCCGGCGGAUGCUGGCCAGUAACCCCCAAUUUUCUAUGGUUGACCUCGGAUCAGGUAGGGAUACCCGCUGAACUUAAGCAUAUCAAAAGCGGAGGA